Macaca mulatta (Rhesus monkey) is the source of this 251-nucleotide non-coding RNA. The record is from RefSeq and is a predicted model, not a curated record. Lineage: Eukaryota; Metazoa; Chordata; Mammalia; Primates; Cercopithecidae.
UUACUGGAUAGUGUCAUGUUCACCCACCAGCCCAUUUAAGAUGAUUGUCAGCAGCUCCUCCGAAUCUUGUUUACCACGGAGGAGCGAGAGGGAAUACAGGCCGGCGUAGGACUACAACACGGCAGAAGGAGGCUGGCCACUGGGUAAGAGACUGCCUCGCUACUGCCCAACCUGGACCUGGACGCCCCACUCCACGACUGCACCGAGGUACUAGCUCAGGUGCACGGAGUUCGAGAAGACCUGCAGGAUCG